AACGCACCUUGCGCUCCUUGGUAUUCCGAGGAGCAUGCCUGUUUGAGUGUCAUGAAACUCUCAACCUUCAACUUUUUUAUUAAGGCUGAAGGCUUGGACUUGGGCGCUGCUGGUUUUUACUAACCGGCUCGCCUGAAAUGAAUUAGCAGAUCCUUUUUGUAAUCGGUUCCACUCGACGUGAUAAGUAUUUCGCCGAGGACAUACGCAAGUAUGGCCGAGAUAAAGGAAGUCUUUAGAUCCGCUUCUAAUUCUUAGAUAGAGCUUGCUCUACUAAACCCCAUUUUAUGAUCUGGCCUCAAAUCAGGUAGGACUACCCGCUGAACUUAA
Molecule: unclassified non-coding RNA, 327 nt
Filed under: uncultured fungus
Lineage: Eukaryota; Fungi
Also listed under: 1 other name
Description: partial contains 5.8S ribosomal RNA, internal transcribed spacer 2, and large subunit ribosomal RNA
Rfam family: 5.8S ribosomal RNA (bases 1-52)
Source: RNAcentral